GAUGAACGCUGGCGGCGUGCCUAAUACAUGCGAGUCGAGCGAACGGACGAGAAGCUUGCUUCUCUGAUGUUAGCGGCGGACGGGUGAGUAACACGUGGAUAACCUACCUAUAAGACUGGGAUAACUUCGGGAAACCGGAGCUAAUACCGGAUAAUAUUUUGAACCGCAUGGUUCAAAAGUGAAAGACGGUCUUGCUGUCACUUAUAGAUGGAUCCGCGCUGCAUUAGCUAGUUGGUAAGGUAACGGCUUACCAAGGCAACGAUGCAUAGCCGACCUGAGAGGGUGAUCGGCCACACUGGAACUGAGACACGGUCCAGACUCCUACGGGAGGCAGCAGUAGGGAAUCUUCCGCAAUGGGCGAAAGCCUGACGGAGCAACGCCGCGUGAGUGAUGAAGGUCUUCGGAUCGUAAAACUCUGUUAUUAGGGAAGAACAUAUGUGUAAGUAACUGUGCACUUCUUGACGGUACCUAAUCAGAAAGCCACGGCUAACUACGUG
Molecule: ribosomal RNA, 497 nt
Filed under: uncultured bacterium
Lineage: Bacteria
Description: partial 16S ribosomal RNA
Rfam family: Bacterial small subunit ribosomal RNA
Source: RNAcentral